Molecule: ribosomal RNA, 425 nt
Filed under: uncultured bacterium
Lineage: Bacteria
Description: partial 16S ribosomal RNA
Rfam family: Bacterial small subunit ribosomal RNA
Source: RNAcentral
GUGGGGAAUCUUGCGCAAUGGGCGAAAGCCUGACGCAGCCAUGCCGCGUGAAUGAUGAAGGUCUUAGGAUUGUAAAAUUCUUUCACCGGGGACGAUAAUGACGGUACCCGGAGAAGAAGCUCCGGCUAACUUCGUGCCAGCAGCCGCGGUAAUACGAAGGGGGCUAGCGUUGCUCGGAAUUACUGGGCGUAAAGGGCGCGUAGGCGGACAGCUUAGUCAGAGGUGAAAGCCCAGGGCUCAACCUUGGAAUUGCCUUUGAUACUGGCUGUCUUGAGUUUGGGAGAGGUGAGUGGAACUCCGAGUGUAGAGGUGAAAUUCGUAGAUAUUCGGAAGAACGCCAGUGGCGAAGGCGACUCACUGGCCCAAUACUGACGCUGAGGCGCGAAAGCGUGGGGAGCAAACAGGAUUAGAAACCCCGGUAGUCC